Molecule: ribosomal RNA, 630 nt
Filed under: Rhynchophorus phoenicis (African palm weevil)
Lineage: Eukaryota; Metazoa; Arthropoda; Insecta; Coleoptera; Curculionidae
Description: eukaryotic LSU rRNA
Rfam family: 5.8S ribosomal RNA (bases 1-87)
Source: RNAcentral
GAACUGCAGGACACAUGAACAUCGACAUUUCGAACGCACAUUGCGGUCCUGGGUCAUUAAUCCCGGACCACUCCUGGCUGAGGGUCGUAUCUUGUUUUAAGACUGCUCGGUUUUUCUUUCGAUCGCGAUGUCGAACGAAAGAGGAACGUCGGAGCGAGUUGAACGUCCGCGGUGGGAUUUUUAUUCCGUCGCGACGUUCUAAAACGCGAAAGCGGACCCGCUGACGGACGCGAGCGUGUGUCGUGCGUGUGCGGCGUGUGUGUGUGGUGUUAAUAAUUAACGUCACCGCCGCCGCCGCCGACCGGAGCUCGCUUCGUAAGGGGGUCGUACGAAUGUAAAAGGGACGACGUGCGCCUAUUAUCGAUUCACACGUGAUAUUAUUUAUAAACGUAAUACGCGCGCGCACGAUAUAAAAACGAUCGUCGUAUCCGAUGAAAUUAUAUAAAUUUUAGUCGACGUCCGAUCGUAAGUGCGCGCUCUGUACGUAUAAUAUCGAUUGUACGAGCGAGAGUCGUUUUGUCUCGUCGUCCGCAAAAACUUUUACGUUUCGUAUUUGUGUCGAUCACAGUCGUAGUGCGAGUAUCGGCUUUUUUUUAUAUCGACCUCAGAUUAUGUGAGACUACCCGCUGA